GUGGCGCACGGCUGAGGAACACGUGGGUGACCUGCCCCAGAGUGGGGGAUACCCCGUCGAAAGACGGGGAUAAUCCCGCAUACGCUCUACGGAGGAAAGCCCCUACGGGCGCUCUGGGAGGGGCCUGCGGCCCAUCAGGUUGUUGGUGUGGUAACGGCGCACCAAGCCACUGACGGGUACCCGGUCUGAGAGGACGGCCGGGCAGACUGGGACUGCGACACGGCCCAGACUCCUACGGGAGGCAGCAGCAAGGAAUUUUCCCCAAUGGGCGGAAGCCUGAGGGAGCAACGCCGCGUGGAGGACGACGGCCUUCGGGUUGUAAACUCCUUUCGGGUGGGACGACCGCGACGGUACCACCAGAAGCAGCCCCGGCUAACUCUGUGCCAGCAGCCGCGGUAAGACAGAGGGGGCAAGCGUUGUCCGGAGUUACUGGACGUAAAGGGCGCGGAGGCGGUCUGCGGCGUCGGCGCUGAAAGCCCCCGCUUAACGGGGCGAGGCGUGCCGAUACGCGCAGACUUGAGGCGAGCAGAGGGUGUGGAAUUCCGGGUGGAGCGGUGAAAUGCGUAGAGAUCCGGAGGAACGCCAGUGGGGAAGCCGGCCACCUGGGCUCGUCCUGACGCUGCGGCGCGACCGCGUGGGGAGCAAACCGGAUUAGAUACCCGGGUAGUCCACGCCGUAAACGAUGCCAGCUCGGCGUGUGGCGCACGGUCGUGCGCUGCGUGCCUUAGCUCACGCGAUAAGCUGGCCGCCUGGGGACUACGAGCGCAAGCUUAAAACUCAAAGGAAUUGACGGGGGCCCGCACAAGCAGCGGAGCGUGUGGUUUAAUUCGACGCAACACGAAGAACCUUACCUGGGCUUGACAUGACGCUGCACGCCGUCGAAAGACGGCCGCCUCCGAGGGCCCGUCAAGGGCG
Molecule: ribosomal RNA, 915 nt
Filed under: uncultured bacterium
Lineage: Bacteria
Description: bacterial SSU rRNA
Rfam family: Bacterial small subunit ribosomal RNA
Source: RNAcentral